GAUCUUCGGAACGGGUUAGUGGCGCACGGGUGAGUAACACGUAGGUGACCUACCCCAGAGUGGAGGAUAACUUCUCGAAAGAGAGGCUAAUACCGCAUACACUCGGUCAUUCAUUUGGCCGAGCAAAGCUCCGGCGCUUUGGGACGGGCCUGCGUCCGAUUAGCUAGUUGGUAGGGUAAUGGCUUACCAAGGCUUUGAUCGGUAGCUGGUCUGAGAGGACGAUCAGCCACACUGGCACUGACACACGGGCCAGACUCCUACGGGAGGCAGCAGUGAGGAAUAUUGGGCAAUGGGCGAAAGCCUGACCCAGCAACGCCGCGUGAGGGAUGAAGGCCUUCGGGUUGUAAACCUCUUUUCUGGGAGAAGAGACAAGGACGGUAUCCCAGGAAUAAGUCUCGGCUAACUACGUGCCAGCAGCCGCGGUAAUACGUAGGAGGCAAGCGUUAUCCGGAUUCACUGGGCGUAAAGCGCACGCAGGCGGUCAUGUAAGUCGGACGUGAAAGCUCCUGGCUCAACUGGGAGAGGUCGUUCGAUACUGCAUGGCUUGAGGUUGGGAGAGGGAAGCGGAAUUCCCGGUGUAGUGGUGGAAUGCGUAGAUAUCGGGAGGAACACCAGUGGCGAAAGCGGCUUCCUGGCCCAUACCUGACGCUCAGGUGCGAAAGCGUGGGGAGCGAACGGGAUUAGAUACCCCGGUAGUCCACGCUGUAAACGAUGCGAACUAGGUGUUGGUAGUAUUAAUCCUAUCAGUGCCGUAGCUAACGCGAUAAGUUCGCCGCCUGGGGACUACGGCCGCAAGGCUAAAACUCAAAGGAAUUGACGGGGGCCCGCACAAGCAGCGG
This 839-nucleotide ribosomal RNA is filed under the name uncultured bacterium. RNAcentral's name for it is "bacterial SSU rRNA". It matches the Rfam family "Bacterial small subunit ribosomal RNA", at positions 75 to 935 of the family's 1533-position model. The record is from RNAcentral.